Molecule: ribosomal RNA, 1234 nt
Filed under: metagenome
Description: bacterial LSU rRNA
Rfam family: Bacterial large subunit ribosomal RNA
Source: RNAcentral
UGAAUACGAGAUGCUACGGCGUCGAAGCAGUCUAUGUCAUACUUCCAAGAAAAGCUUGCACUGUCAUAAACAAAUAGUGCCUGUACCAUAACCGACACAGGUGGGUAGGUAGAGUAUACUAAGGGGCGCGAGAUAACUCUCUCUAAGGAACUCGGCAAAAUGACUCCGUAACUUCGGGAGAAGGAGUGCCUUAUUUAUAAGGUUGCAAUAACAAGAUCCAAGCAACUGUUUACCAAAAACACAGGUCUCCGCUAAGUCGUAAGACGAUGUAUGGGGGCUGACGCCUGCCCAGUGCCAGAAGGUUAAAGAAGUUGGUUAGCAUCCGCGAAGCUGAUAACUGAAGCCCUGGUGAACGGCGGCCGUAACGAUAACGGUCCUAAGGUAGCGAAAUUCCUUGUCGGGUAAGUUCCGACCCGCACGAAAGGCGUAAUGAUUUGGAUACUGUCUCGGAGAGGGGCUCGGUGAAAUAGACUUGUCUGUGAAGAUGCGGACUACCUGCACCAGGACAGAAAGACCCUAUGAAGCUUUACUGUAACCUGAAAUUGAAAUUGGACUUUACUUGCGCAGUAUAGGUGGGAGGCGUUGAGAAUAUUCUUGCGGGAUUAUUGGAGCCAUCAGUGAGAUACCACUCUUGUAAUGUUAGAUUUCUAACUUUGUAUCAUUAUCUGGUCAAAGAACAGUUUCAGGCGGGCAGUUUGACUGGGGCGGUCGCCUCCUAAACGGUAACGGAGGCGCACAAAGGUUUCCUCUGAACGGGUAGAAAUCGUAUCUAGAGUGUAAAGGCAUAAGGAAGCUUGACUGUGAGACCUACAAGUCGAGCAGGGACGAAAGUCGGUCUUAGUGAUCUGACGGUGCUGAGUGGAAAGGCCGUCACUCAACGGAUAAAAGUUACUCUAGGAUAACAGGCUGAUCUCCCCCAAGAGUUCACAUCGACGGGGAGGUUUGGCACCUCGAUGUCGGCUCAUCGCAUCCUGGGGCGGUAGUACGUCCCAAGGGUUGGGCUGUUCGCCCAUGAAAGCGGUACGCGAGCUGGGUUCAGAACGUCGUGAGACAGUUCGGUCCAUAUCCGGUGUAGGCGUUAGAAUAUUGAGAGGAGCCUUCUUUAGUACGAGAGGACCGAGAAGGACAUACCUCUGGUGUACCAGUUAUCGUGCCAACGGUAAACGCUGGGUAGCUAUGUGUGGAGUGGAUAACCGCUGAAAGCAUCUAAGUGGGAAGCCCACCUCAAGAUAAG